GUUGAUGUGUGUGGAAGUAAACAAAUAUGGCGUCUCGAAAAGCACGCUUAUUUUGAAAAUGAAGUUUUCAGAGAUUGUUUUAAUCUACGGAUGAAGUGGUCGUCAUUAACGGAGAAAGGAAAAUUUGUUAAAUUAAGAUACUACAUUCCUAGUCUAUUAUAGACCUAGGAAUAUUAGUCGACAUGAAGGGUUCAAGGGCAAUCUAAGGAAAUCAUAAAUUGUACAGAAACUAUACAAAGAAUGCUUGAGUAUGCCUUGAAAUUUCUACAACCUAAUUCUCUGUCCAGAUGACUUUUUGUAAUCUUACUGACAAAGAUGUUCACCAUAUUCAAUUGGAGCACAUUUAAGAUAUGGCUCCUCUAGCUAAUGUGAUCAUGGCAUUAGCCUCAGAAAGGUUGAGAACCAUUGGAUUAAA
Molecule: long non-coding RNA, 415 nt
Filed under: Centruroides sculpturatus (bark scorpion)
Lineage: Eukaryota; Metazoa; Arthropoda; Arachnida; Scorpiones; Buthidae
Description: uncharacterized LOC111632163, transcript variant X4
Source: RNAcentral